RNAcentral lists this ribosomal RNA (253 nucleotides) under uncultured bacterium. RNAcentral describes it as "partial 16S ribosomal RNA". It matches the Rfam family "Bacterial small subunit ribosomal RNA", at positions 524 to 776 of the family's 1533-position model. The record is from RNAcentral.
UACAGAGGUCUCAAGCGUUGUUCGGAUUCAUUGGGCGUAAAGGGUGCGUAGGCGGCGCGGUAAGUCGGGUGUGAAAUUUCGAGGCUUAACUUCGAAACUGCAUUCGAUACUGCCGUGCUUGAGGACUGGAGAGGAGACUGGAAUUUACGGUGUAGCGGUGAAAUGCGUAGAUAUCGUAAGGAAGACCAGUGGCGAAGGCGGCCCCCUGGGCCGGGCCUGACGCUGAGACGCGAAAGCGCGGGGAGCGAACGGG